Molecule: ribosomal RNA, 319 nt
Filed under: uncultured cyanobacterium
Lineage: Bacteria; Bacillati; Cyanobacteriota
Description: bacterial SSU rRNA
Rfam family: Bacterial small subunit ribosomal RNA
Source: RNAcentral
GACGAACGCUGGCGGUGUGCUUAAUACAUGCAAGUCGAACGUGAAGCUAACUUCGGUUAGUGGAAAGUGGCGGACGGGUGAGUAACACGUAGGUAAUCUGCCUUAAGGUGGGGGACAACGUUGGGAAACUGACGCUAAUACCCCAUAUGUGGUGAGUUGAAAUACUCAUUAUGAAAGCUUUAGUGCCUUAAGAUGAGCCUGCGGCUGAUUAGUUUGUUGGUGAGGUAAUGGCUUACCAAGACUAUGAUCAGUAGCUGGUCUGAGAGGAUGAUCAGCCACAAUGGGACUGAGACACGGCCCAUACUCCUACGGGUGGCAG